CGGUGUUUAACUGGCGUGAUGUGGGACGUCCUACCGGUGGGCUUAGCCUCGCGAGGGGCGGCCCAACUAAUAUCCCGUCGCGGUGCUCUUUACUGAGUGUCGAGUCGGGCCGGUACGUUUACUUUGAACAAAUUAGAGUGCUUAAAGCAGGCUAUCCUCGCCUGAAUACUGCGUGCAUGGAAUAAUGGAAUAGGACCUCGGUUCUAUUUUGUUGGUUUUCGGAACCCCGAGGUAAUGAUUAAUAGGGACAGAUGGGGGCAUUCGUAUUGCGACGUUAGAGGUGAAAUUCUUGGAUCGUCGCAAGACGGACAGAAGCGAAAGCAUUUGCCAAAAAUGUUUUCAUUAAUCAAGAACGAAAGUUAGAGGUCCGAAGGCGAUCAGAUACCGCCCUAGUUCUAACCAUAAACGAUGCCAGCUAGCGAUCCGCCGAAGUUCCUCCGAUGACUCGGCGGGCAGCUUCCGGGAAACCAAAGCUUUUGGGUUCCGGGGGAAGUAUGGUUGCAAAGCUGAAACUUAAAGGAAUUGACGGAAGGGCACCACCAGGAGUGGAGCCUGCGGCUUAAUUUGACUCAACACGGGAAACCUCACCAGGCCCAGACACCGGAAGGAUUGACAGAUUGAUAGCUCUUUCUUGAUUCGGUGGGUGGUGGUGCAUGGCCGUUCUUAGUUGGUGGAGCGAUUUGUCUGGUUAAUUCCGAUAACGAACGAGACUCUAGCCUGCUAAAUAGGCGUACCUUAUGGUAUCGCGAAGGCCCCCGGCUUCGGCCGGUGGGUUUUUACUACCAACGUACAAACAAAUCUUCUUAGAGGGACAGGCGG
Molecule: ribosomal RNA, 819 nt
Filed under: uncultured eukaryote
Lineage: Eukaryota
Description: SSU rRNA
Rfam family: Eukaryotic small subunit ribosomal RNA
Source: RNAcentral